RNAcentral lists this ribosomal RNA (282 nucleotides) under uncultured bacterium. RNAcentral's name for it is "partial 16S ribosomal RNA". It matches the Rfam family "Bacterial small subunit ribosomal RNA", at positions 773 to 1060 of the family's 1533-position model. The record is from RNAcentral.
GUGGAUUAGGUACCCUGGUAGUCCACGCCGUAAACGAUGGAUACUAGCUGUUUGGUAGCAAUACUGAGUGGCUAAGCGAAAGUGAUAAGUAUCCCACCUGGGGAGUACGAACGCAAGUUUGAAACUCAAAGGAAUUGACGGGGGCCCGCACAAGCGGUGGAGCAUGUGGUUUAAUUCGAUGAUACGCGAGGAACCUUACCAGGGCUUAAAUGUAGGUUGACAGGCUUGGAAACAGGUUUUUCUUCGGACAACUUACAAGGUGCUGCACGGCCGUCGUCAACU